CAUGGACAGCCCAUGGUACUUUGGAAUGUGAUGUAACAAGCUUGACUUCAAUUCGAACUUGGCAGUUUUGUCCGGAGCCGCCCUAGGGUAUUGGAUACAUAGGGGUGCGGCAUUAUCCAAUCCCGAAGCGGAAAGCUCCUUGAUCGUUCGGUUGUCCGCUGCCAUGUCUUCCACUUCCUCUUCAAUUUCAGAAACGGACUCGGAACUUGAACUUGAUUCACUAGGUUCCGGGUUCUUCCUCUUUCGUCUCAACUCACGCUCAAAAUCGUCGUCAAAGUCUAAAAUAUGUUCGUGAACCGGAUUAGAACUCCGAGUCAUAAACAAGUACCUAAAACAAGAAACAAAAUAACAUAAGAAUCUGAUCUAAUAAGAAAAACGAAAAUAACAAUCCAAGGGAUUAGCAAAGUUGCUAAUCCCCGGCAACGGCGCCAAAAAUUUGAUGCGAAAUAUAUAAGCACACAAAUUAAACCCUCUUUUUAUCAAUUGUAGCAAAAUACGUAAGUAGGGAUCGUUCUAGGCCGGGGAUUAGGAGGGAUUGCAAAAUUACUUGGAAUUGACUCAGAAACAUAAAAACAAGUUUAAAACACUAACUAGACUCAAAGAAUGUAAAACUAUAACUUAAAACACCAAAACAAACCAAAAGACUCGAAAUAACACACAAACACUCAAAACUGCCUUAAAACCACUUUCUGGGCAGUUUUGAACUCUAAACAAGAUUUUGACGAAAAUAGGUUUUAACUUGACUCAAAACACUUAAAAACACAAACUAACACACUCUCUAACUAAUUUGACACUUGAAAACAAAGGGGGAUUUGGUUUUUACGAAAUUGAAAACAAAAUAUAAACUUGUAAAUCAAAACAGAUUUUAAAACGAAUUUGGUUUAAAUGAAUGGAUGGAAAGCUAGCUAAGGGGUUCAUCUGAAGGAUUAUUUUGUGAAAACAUGUUCAUUUAAGCAACAUCAAUAAGCAUGCAAUUAACAAUUAAAGGCGGAA
This 993-nucleotide long non-coding RNA is filed under the name Malus domestica (apple). Its description in RNAcentral is "long non-coding RNA (MDOM_LNC020828)". The record is from RNAcentral. Lineage: Eukaryota; Viridiplantae; Streptophyta; Magnoliopsida; Rosales; Rosaceae.